CAGCUCACUUCAGCAGUUCAGGUACAAAAAUUGAAACCAUAUGCAGAAGAUUAGCAUGACCACUGAGCAAGAAUGACAUGCAAAUUCGCGAAGAAAAGGCAGCCCAUUCCU
Molecule: small nuclear RNA, 111 nt
Filed under: Suricata suricatta (meerkat)
Lineage: Eukaryota; Metazoa; Chordata; Mammalia; Carnivora; Herpestidae
Source: RNAcentral